UACGUAGGUGGCAAGCGUUGUCCGGAAUUACUGGGUGUAAAGCGCGUGUAGGCGGCAGACCAAGUCGGCGGUGAAAGCGCCCGGCUCAACUGGGCGAGGUCCGUGGAAACUGGUCAGCUGGAGGACGGUAGAGGCGAAUGGAAUUCCCGGUGUAGUGGUGAAAUGCGUAGAGAUCGGGAGGAACACCUGUGGCGAAGGCGGCUCGCUGGGCCGGUCCUGACGCUGAGACGCGAAGGCGUGGGGAGCGAACGGG
This 253-nucleotide ribosomal RNA is filed under the name uncultured bacterium. Its description in RNAcentral is "partial 16S ribosomal RNA". It matches the Rfam family "Bacterial small subunit ribosomal RNA", at positions 524 to 776 of the family's 1533-position model. The record is from RNAcentral.